RNAcentral lists this ribosomal RNA (1286 nucleotides) under human gut metagenome. RNAcentral describes it as "bacterial LSU rRNA". It matches the Rfam family "Bacterial large subunit ribosomal RNA", at positions 1181 to 2513 of the family's 2925-position model. The record is from RNAcentral.
CUAAACUAUACACCGAAAUUUCGGAUUUACGUAUGAAAAUAUGUAAGUGGUAGAGGAGCAUUCUGUAGUAGGACGAAGUCAAAGCGAAAGCAUUGGUGGACGAGGCAGAAGAGAGAAUGCUGGAAUAAGUAGCGAGAGCAAGGUGAGAAUCCUUGCCGUCGAAAGUCUAAGGUUUCCUGGGGAAGGUUCGUCCGCCCAGGGUAAGUCGGGGCCUAAGGAGAGGCCGAAAGGCGUAUCUGAUGGAUAGCAGGUGGAGAUUCCUGCACUAUAGCUAGUUUUAAAAGAUGCAAGGGACGCAGUAGAGGAAGAUAACCAAGGAAGAGGAAAGACUUGGUCCGCAAGGGAUAGUGAAAAUUAAUAGUAACGAAAUAUCAAGAAUCACACUGACGAGAAAAGCUUGUAGAUAUUAACUAGAAAUACCCGUACCGCAAACCGACACAGGUAGAUGAGGAGAGGAUCCUAAGACGAGCGGGAGAAGCAUUGUUAAGGAACUCGGCAAAAUAACCCCGUAACUUCGGGAGAAGGGGAACCUAAGUAAAAUUAGGUCGCAGAGAAAAGGCCCAAGCAACUGUUUAACAAAAACACAGGUUUCUGCAAAAUCGAAAGAUGAAGUAUAGGAGCUGACGCCUGCCCAGUGCUGGAAGGUUAAGGGAAAGAGUUAGACGUAAGUCGAAGCUUAGAACUAAAGCCCCAGUGAACGGCGGCCGUAACUAUAACGGUCCUAAGGUAGCGAAAUUCCUUGUCAGGUAAGUUCUGACCCGCACGAAAGGCGUAAUGAUUUGGGCACUGUCUCGACAAUGUACCCGGCGAAAUUGUAGUACUAGUGAAGAUGCUAGUUACCUGCGACAAGACAGAAAGACCCCAUGGAGCUUUACUGCAGUUUGAUACUGGGUUUCGAUAAGUUAUGUACAGGAUAGGUGGGAGACAAAGAAAGAAAGGCGUCAGCUUUUCCGGAGUCACCGUUGGGAUACCACCCUUAAUUUGUUGGAAUUCUAACUAGUGGUCAUGAUCUGGCCAGAGGACAAUGUCAGACGGGCAGUUUGACUGGGGCGGUCGCCUCCAAAAGAGUAACGGAGGCGCCCAAAGGUUCCCUCAGUGCGGACAGAAAUCGCACGAAAGAGUGUAAAGGCAGAAGGGAGCUUAACUGGAAGAUAGACAUAUCGAGCAGAUACGAAAGUAGGGCUUAGUGAUCCGGUGGAUAUUGAAUGGAAAAGCCAUCGCUCAACGGACAAAAGUUACCCUGGGGAUAACAGGCUUAUCUCCCCCAAGAGUUCACAUCGACGGGG